AUAUUGGACAAUGUGUGCAACCCUGAUCUAGCCAUGCUGCGUGUGUGCAGAAGGUCUUCGGAUUGUAAAGCACUGUACGUUGGGAUGGAGGACUUUAGGUUAAUACUCUGAAGUUUGGACGUUACUAACAGAAGAAGCACCGGCUAACUAUGUGCCAGCAGCCGCGGUAAUACAGGGGGUGCAAGCGUUAAUCGGAAUUACGGGGCGUAAAGCGCGCGUAGGUGGUUCAGUAAGAUGGGUGUGAAAUCCCCGGGCUUAACCUGGGAACUGCUUUCAUAACUGCUGAGCUAGAGUACGGUAGAGGGUAGUGGAAUUUCCUGUGUAGCGGUGAAAUGCGUAGAUAUAGGAAGGAACACCAGUGGCGAAGGCGACUACCUGGACUGAUACUGACACUGAGGUGCGAAAGCGUGGGGAGCAAAC
This 420-nucleotide ribosomal RNA is filed under the name uncultured bacterium. Its description in RNAcentral is "partial 16S ribosomal RNA". It matches the Rfam family "Bacterial small subunit ribosomal RNA", at positions 361 to 773 of the family's 1533-position model. The record is from RNAcentral.